AUAAUCUUCCCACUGUUAUCCAUACUAGCCACGGGUUCUUCUCGGCCAAUUUUGACCAUAAUGGUUCCUUCAUCGUAACCAAUCACAACACGGCGUGAGCCUCUCAUGUAUCCAAUGGCCCAGACUCUUUCAAGACCAUAAUUCAAUGUGUUCUCAAGCCUGUAAGUUGUUGAAUGCCAUAUGCGAACUGUCCCAUCCUCAGAACCUGUUAUUAUUAUAGGAAGUUCGGGAUGAAAACAUACUGCAGAAACAUUGUGAGUGUGGCCUUCUAGUGUCUGGACACAACUUUUGGUCUGAUAAUCCCACACCUUAGCAGUGUGAUCAUCAGAACCUGAGAUUAGAUAAGGUUUAUC
This 353-nucleotide unclassified non-coding RNA is filed under the name Hevea brasiliensis (rubber tree). The record is from RNAcentral. Lineage: Eukaryota; Viridiplantae; Streptophyta; Magnoliopsida; Malpighiales; Euphorbiaceae.